Molecule: ribosomal RNA, 465 nt
Filed under: uncultured bacterium
Lineage: Bacteria
Description: partial 16S ribosomal RNA
Rfam family: Bacterial small subunit ribosomal RNA
Source: RNAcentral
CCUACGGGUGGCAGCAGUAGGGAAUCUUCCACAAUGGGCGAAAGCCUGAUGGAGCAACGCCGCGUGGGUGAAGAAGGUCUUCGGAUCGUAAAACCCUGUUGUUAGAGAAGAAAGUUCGAGAGAGUAACUGUUCACGCUUCGACUGUCUCUAACCAGACAGCCACGGCUAACUAUGGGCCGGCAGCCGCGGUAAUACGUAGGUGGUAAGCGUUAUCCGGAUUUAUGGGGCGUAAAGGGAACGCAAGCGGGCGGGUAAGGCUGAUGGGAAAGCAUUUGGCUUAACUGGUGUAUUGCAUUUGAAACUGGGAGACUUGAGUGCAGAAGAGGUGAGUGGAACUCCAUGUGUAGCGGUGAAAUGCGUAGAUAUAUGGAAGAACACCAGUGGCGAAAGCGGCCAUCUGGGCUGUAACUGACGCUGAGGCUCGAAAGCGUGGGUAGCAAACAGGAUUAGAUACCCUAGUAGUC